Molecule: ribosomal RNA, 244 nt
Filed under: uncultured bacterium
Lineage: Bacteria
Description: partial 16S ribosomal RNA
Rfam family: Bacterial small subunit ribosomal RNA
Source: RNAcentral
AGGGGGCAAGCGGGAUCCGGAGUUACUGGGGGUAAAGGGAGCGGAGACGGCAGGGCAAGUCGGAAGUGAAAACCAGGGGCUCAACCACGGGACUGCUUUGGAAACUGUGCAGCUGGAGUGUCGGAGAGGCAAGCGGAAUUACUAGUGUAGCGGUGAAAUGCGUAGAUAUUAGGAGGAACACCAGUGGCGAAGGCGGCUUGCUGGACGAUGACUGACGUUGAGGCUCGAAAGCGUGGGGAGCAAA